This 301-nucleotide ribosomal RNA is filed under the name uncultured bacterium. Its description in RNAcentral is "partial 16S ribosomal RNA". It matches the Rfam family "Bacterial small subunit ribosomal RNA", at positions 509 to 807 of the family's 1533-position model. The record is from RNAcentral.
CAGUAGCCGCGGUAACACGAAGGGUGCAAGCGUUAAUCGGAAUUACUGGGCGUAAAGCGUGCGUAGGCGGUUUGUUAAGUCUGUUGUGAAAUCCCCGGGCUCAACCUGGGAAUGGCAAUGGAUACUGGCAAGCUAGAGUGUGUCAGAGGAUGGUGGAAUUCCCGGUGUAGCGGUGAAAUGCGUAGAGAUCGGGAGGAACAUCAGUGGCGAAGGCGGCCAUCUGGGACAACACUGACGCUGAGGCACGAAAGCGUGGGGAGCAAACAGGAUUAGAUACCCGAGUAGUCCCUGUCUCUUAUAC